Molecule: ribosomal RNA, 433 nt
Filed under: uncultured bacterium
Lineage: Bacteria
Description: partial 16S ribosomal RNA
Rfam family: Bacterial small subunit ribosomal RNA
Source: RNAcentral
AACGAACGCUGGCGGCAUGCCUAACACAUGCAAGUCGAACGAGACCUUCGGGUCUAGUGGCGCACGGGUGCGUAACGCGUGGGAACCUGCCCUUAGGCUCGGAAUAACUCCCCGAAAGGGGUGCUAAUACCGGAUAAUGUCUUCGGACCAAAGAUUUAUCGCCUUUGGAUGGGCCCGCGUUGGAUUAGCUAGUUGGUAGGGUAAAAGCCUACCAAGGCGACGAUCCAUAGCUGGUCUGAGAGGAUGAUCAGCCACACUGGGACUGAGACACGGCCCAGACUCCUACGGGAGGCAGCAGUGGGGAAUAUUGGGCAAUGGGCGAAAGCCUGAUCCAGCAAUGCCGCGUGAGUGAUGAAGGCCUUAGGGUUGUAAAGCUCUUUUACCCGGGAUGAUAAUGACAGUACCGGGAGAAUAAGCUCCGGCUAACUCCGUG